RNAcentral lists this long non-coding RNA (638 nucleotides) under Homo sapiens (human). RNAcentral's name for it is "non-protein coding lnc-SPTY2D1OS-4:2". The record is from RNAcentral. Lineage: Eukaryota; Metazoa; Chordata; Mammalia; Primates; Hominidae.
CCAGCCUGGGCGACAGAGCGAGACUCCGUCUCAAAAAAAAAAAACAAAAAACAUGCUAGACAAAGCUGCUGGCUCUUACUCUUUGAUGGUUUAAUGCUGCGAACGUAAUUCAAAAUCAAAGCUGUUGGAACUUUAAGUUAUUUUGCGCCUUAAAAGAAUGUUAUUAUGGAACCUGAGCUACAUAACAGGCAGCUGCGUUUGUUCCUCUGAUUAUAGAUUAGCCUUUCUUUCCUACAUCGUUUUGUGAAAACACAGGGAGAAGACAGCCAUGUACAAACCAAGGAGAGAGACCUCAAGGUAACCACACCUUGAUCAUGGAAUUCUAGCCACCAGAAUUGUUAAGACAAUAAAUGUCUGUUGUUUAGGCCACCUAGUCUGUGGUACUUUGUUAUUGGCAGCCCUAGCAAACGAAUACACUGGCAUAUGGUGUUUUCAAUUAAUGCCAACCAUCAUUUCUCAAGGAAGCUCUUCCUGAGCUAUCUCAGGGCCCCUUUUAUAAAUUCUUACAGCCCCCCAGUAUUUCCCUUCAUGCAACAUUUUACAGUUUGUAAUUACAUAUUUGUUCUUUUUUUUUUUUAAACUAUUGGCUAUAUCUGUGAUAGACAGAGCUAUGAAAAUGGGCAUAAGCCUAUUUUACC